This 446-nucleotide ribosomal RNA is filed under the name uncultured bacterium. RNAcentral describes it as "partial 16S ribosomal RNA". It matches the Rfam family "Bacterial small subunit ribosomal RNA", at positions 338 to 795 of the family's 1533-position model. The record is from RNAcentral.
CCUACGGGAGGCAGCAGUCGAGAAUCAUUCACAAUGGGGGAAACCCUGAUGGUGCGACGCCGCGUGGGGGAAUGAAGGUCUUCGGAUUGUAAACCCCUGUCAUGUGGGAGCAAAUUAAAAAGAUAGUACCACAAGAGGAAGAGACGGCUAACUCUGUGCCAGCAGCCGCGGUACUACAGAGGUCUCAAGCGUUGUUCGGAAGCACUGGGCGUAAAGCGUGCGUAGGCUGUUUCGUAAGUCGUGUGUGAAAGGCGCGGGCUCAACCCGCGGACGGCACAUGAUACUGCGAGACUAGAGUAAUGGAGGGGGAACCGGAAUUCUCGGUGUAGCAGUGAAAUGCGUAGAUAUCGAGAGGAACACUCGUGGCGAAGGCGGGUUCCUGGACAUUAACUGACGCUGAGGCACGAAGGCCAGGGGAGCGAAAGGGAUUAGAUACCCCAGUAGUC